GUUAUCUAGGUGGCAGAAGGCGGGUGAAUACGUAGGUGGAGAGGGGUGUCCGUAUGGAUUGGGCGUAAAGGGCGGGCAGGCGGUCGGGCAAGUCCGAGGUGAAAUCUCCCGGCUCAACUGGGAGGGGUGUUCGGAUACUGGUCGACGUGAGGAGAGCAGAGGUGAGUGGAAUUCUCGGUGUAGUGGUGAAAUGCGUAGAUAUCGAGAGGAACACCAGCGGCGAAGGCGGCUCACUGGGCUCUACCUGACGCUGAGGCGCGAAAGCGUGGGGAGCGAACCGGAUUAGAUACCCCUGUAGUC
RNAcentral lists this ribosomal RNA (300 nucleotides) under uncultured Lactobacillus sp. Its description in RNAcentral is "bacterial SSU rRNA". It matches the Rfam family "Bacterial small subunit ribosomal RNA", at positions 496 to 795 of the family's 1533-position model. Lineage: Bacteria; Bacillati; Bacillota; Bacilli; Lactobacillales; Lactobacillaceae. The record is from RNAcentral.